ACCUGGCUGGCUCAGUUGCUAGAGCAUGCAGCUUUUGAUUUCAGGGUUGUGAGUUUAAGCCCCAUGUUGGGUG
RNAcentral lists this transfer RNA (73 nucleotides) under Ailuropoda melanoleuca (giant panda). It matches the Rfam family "tRNA". From Rfam's summary of the family: Transfer RNA (tRNA) molecules are approximately 80 nucleotides in length. Their secondary structure includes four short double-helical elements and three loops (D, anti-codon, and T loops). The record is from Rfam by way of RNAcentral. Lineage: Eukaryota; Metazoa; Chordata; Mammalia; Carnivora; Ursidae.